This 253-nucleotide ribosomal RNA is filed under the name uncultured prokaryote. Its description in RNAcentral is "partial 16S ribosomal RNA". It matches the Rfam family "Bacterial small subunit ribosomal RNA", at positions 524 to 776 of the family's 1533-position model. The record is from RNAcentral.
GACGGGGGGUGCAAGCGUUGUUCGGAAUCAUUGGGCGUAAAGCGCGUGCAGGUGGCUUUAUAAGUCAGAUGUGAAAGCCUAGGGCUUAACCCUAGAAGUGCAUUUGAAACUGUAUAGCUUGAGUAUGGAAGAGGGUCGUGGAAUUCCAGGUGUAGUGGUGAAAUACGUAGAUAUCUGGAGGAACACCGGUGGCGAAGGCGGCGACCUGGUCCAAUACUGACACUCAUACGCGAAAGCGUGGGGAUCAAACAGG